This is a long non-coding RNA of Amphiprion ocellaris (clown anemonefish), 4020 nucleotides long. RefSeq lists it as uncharacterized. The record is from RefSeq and is a predicted model, not a curated record. The transcript is spliced from 2 exons. Lineage: Eukaryota; Metazoa; Chordata; Actinopteri; Pomacentridae.
CACAAAAAGAGAAACAACAUUGUCAUCCCCUAUGUGGCAGGAAUUUCAGAGAAACUCAGGAGGAUCUUUAACACCCACCAGAUCCCAGUACACUUCAAGCCCAGCAACACUCUGAGGCAAAAGCUGGUCCAUCCCAAGGACAAAAUUCCAAGGGAGAAACAGAGCAAUGUGGUGUACGCAGUGCAGUGCAAUGAGGAAUGCUCUGACCUGUACAUUGGAGAGACUAAGCAGCCAUUACACAAGCGCAUGGCACAACACAGGAGGGCCACGACCACAGGCCAGGACUCAGCAGUCCACCUCCACCUCAAGGAGAAGGGGCACUCCUUUGAUGACCACAAGGUGCGCAUUCUAGCCAGAGAGGACAGAUGGUUUGAGAGAGGGGUAAAAGAAGCCAUUCAUGUCAAACUAGAACGGCCAUCUUUGAACAGAGGAGGGGGCCUCAGACACCACUUGUCUCCCACUUACAACGCCGUUCUUAGAGCCCUCCCAAGGAGGUGCAGCCAUCUGUCCCACUUGCAGUCAGGUGACCCCCAACCACCCUCCUAGAGGGCUGGGAGGGGUAACGACCGCCCAUCAAAGGCUAACGACUCACAUUAACACCUAACGAGUCUGUUGGUUUCGGGUCUUUGUCCACUUGUUUUUGCCACCACCCUCCUGGUGGAUAAAUAUCUGGUACUCCCCACCAGGCUUUCAGAACUGAAGAAGCCUCUUGGAUGAGAGGUGAAACGUUUUCGACUCACACGAGGAAAGCCCACUGCCACUGCACCUCCCCCCCACCUUCCUGUCUAUAUAAAACCUCUGGCACUGACAGUCUGUCCUGGUAAUACACUCUUUGAGGCGAUGGCGAAGCAGGCUGAACUGAGCUUUAAUUGCCAUAGUGGACUUUAAUUAUACGAUGACCGCAUGUAGGUUUAGCCGCCUGCAGGUCCUAAUCUGAGGUAAGAGAUCAUAUUUGAAUUGUUUUGUUGAGAUUGAUCUAGAAUUUUCAUACUUUGCUGAAUGUUGCGUUCACGCUUCUAGAUACUAAUGCUGCUGCGUGAGCGAGGCAGAUCACUGUGAACCUGAUGCAGCUCUCUGGUGCUAUCUGGUGUAAAUACACUGACACAAUGAAAUAACCGGUAAAUUAGCCCAAACUGAAAACAAUAUUGCCUUGAUUUUAGCUUAAGAUGAUGUAGAAAUUAUCACUAGCAUUCAUUAACAUGUAUCUCUGCUGCAUCAAUAAUAACAAUUCGGAAAAACUACCUUAUAACUGCAUGUAUUAAUUCAUGUGUGCACUGGGGUGAGGAUUUAACAUUAAAAAGGCAACAAUCAUGCGUCAUCUGCAUAAGUUAGCACAUUCUUGUAAUGUCAUUUAGCAUGCAUGUUCUUGCUACUGUUGUGAGGGGUUCCAGGGUUAGUUUUUUCCUAUCUAUAAUUUAGUUUCAAGCAUCACACAUGGAAAAAAAAACCCUUGCUGGUGCUACAUCAUAUUCUGAGGUCUGAUUAACAUUCAUGUAUUUUAUUGCUAGCUGUUACACAAGAAAUGAUAAAUCUACAUUUUAACAGUUGUAAUAGUGCAAAUAACAGCAGCAAGAAGUCUUGGUCUGUCUGUAGAGUGCACUCAUAUUUCAGUAUAACACAUGCUCUACUUGAUCCCAUGUGGGUCCAUCUUAUGCCUGGCUAUCAUGCAGCAGCUCUACACAUACUGACAGGUGACGAAUUAAAGGAAAAACCUGAACCACUGACCCCCACAGUGCAGGAAUCCAGUGGCUCUAUCAGGCUGUAGGAGGGAAUUUGUCCUCUAAGAGAUAAGGCUCACUGUAAACCAAUACAAAGGUAUUGUGAAUGAUCACCUCUAUUUCUAUUCUGAUGGGAGUGAACUCAUCCAAAGGACAGAACAGGUUGGCGAAUGGUUGGAUCAGUAUGAAAAUUAUAUGAAUCAUAUCUUAUAAUCAGAUCUUAACUCAGUUGAACAUGUAGACAAAAUACUUUGGGCCUACAUGGUAGACAGGGAUCUCAACCAUUAUCAUCAAAACAUUACAGUUCAGAGACUUAUAGAAUCAACGAUAAGGUGUAUAGAUUGACCAAUGUGGUGUUUAUAAGAGAGAUGUCAAUAUCGAUUAUUGAUAAUCGAGAAAGGCUGAUGACCAAUAUUUGGAACCAAUAUACAUUAAAUGUUAUAUAUUCACCAGAGCUUCUAUGCUUUGAAAAUGCGCUCAGUUUCUCUCUUCCUGUGUAAACAAUAGUUGUGAUUGGCCUUUACCCUUGACAUGCAACAGCCAAUCAGAUAGAGAUGUGGGUCGGAUAUUACAGAGAGAGAGCAAAUACGAGUCAAAUGAACGCAUUUAUUGAUGUUGUAAUAAUCGGCCAAUAAAACAAUUGAUACAAAUGAUCUAAAAAUUCCAAACAUUGGCAUCAAUAAUUAGCUCGGCUGGAAAUCAGUCAAUACCAAGCAAAGCACACUGAAGUUGUUCUCACAGCACAUGAAGGCCCAACACCUUACUAUGACCUUUAUUUUGCUUUUUCCUGUAAUUUGUCACCUGUCUGUACAUCCACAUUGUCAGUUCUAGCCAAGGGCAUUGCUCCAAGAUAAGGAGGUGAUAACUGAAGAUGACCAGUGAGUCAAUCAAUUAGGAGUCUCAGGAGAGGCCUAUGAUUGCCACAUAAUGCAGACACUACUGUACACACUGAAUGAUAAAAGAUAUAUAGAGUGUUUUAUUUUAGUUGCUGCAAUACAAUCUUUACAUUUAAGAGCAUAUUGAUCAAUUCACUUGAAUAAGAUAAUGUAUUUUGUCUAUUUAAUGCUGUUUUGUCCCUCAUAGGUUUCGAAAGCCACAUCUGCCAACAGACAGAAGCAGAAGCUGAGCAGCCACUGGUUGGAUGAGUUUCUGUCAGACUGCUUCAAAUCCUGUCUGAUGGGUUUUAGGUGCACAAGCAACAUUUAGAGAAACUUCCAGUGCAGUUAACAUUGACUCACUAGCUCGCAGAUAAUAGGCUAUAAGAUAAAAAUCCCUAGGUGUGAGGGUUAAUUUGACAGAGCUGACAUUGCGCACUUGUCUGUUCACCUGCAUUAUUGGGUAAGGAGAUAAGAAGCGCCAUGAGUCAUUCCGGCCAGAGAUGGCGAUAAUGCGGAGCUUUAUCCAACAAGGAGAGGUCUGCAUUUAGCUUCAUGAGAAGUGCAUUUUACAUCGAGAACUUCGCAAAUGCACAACGCAAGAACAAUUCAUCGUAACUGCGGUGGUUCAGCUAUUGUUUCUAGUGUAAUAUCAGUCAACAAAACCGUGAAUUUAAGCCCAACGGGCCACAAUAGCCCGGUCACGUAGCGAGUAGUCCGUGACAGGCGGCGUUGCAGCAGCAGCAGCAUGCGAUCUACACUGCACAGUUAAAGCUUUGAAUUUGACUUCCUGGUUGAAUUUACACUUUGAGAAAUUAGUGACUAAUUUGAAAUUGGUUUCAAUAAUUAAAUUCUGUCCCCUUAAAUUGCUCCAUUGACGGUUUAGAGAUUCAGGGACACUACUUACCUCGUAGUGCUUCAUCUUGCCAGCUUGCACCCCUUCCUUAAUAUCCCGGAUGAGUGACAGCGGCGCGUCCAAUCAGCGGGGUAAUAUGAAACUGCUGAGCACUCUGUGGGCGGGCACUAUGGUCACGCUGCGCCCAAUCGGCGCCGGUAAUAGCCAGACGAGCACGCCCACACAUCAGCUAUGUAGCCAAUGAGCCUUAAGCUAAUAUAAAGGUUACGAAGAAUAAUUGGAUUUAUUCAUUUAGUUCGGAUUUCUUGUGCUUUGAAUAGAGGCUCUUGUCCACUUGGCUAUAACAGAUUGAGGUUCACUUCACCAAUAAAAUGUCAUCUUAAUUUUCAUGCUAUUGUCCACUUUUUUUUUAGCCUCUGAAUUUUUAUAUAGUCUCAAGUUUGAACCUACAUCUUUGCAAUUUUGUGUACAUUGUGUUGACCUUGUUUAUUUCCAGUGUCCCACAAGCAAAGUUUGCUGUAUGUUGCGUAUUAUAUUGUCACUUAAAAAAAUAAACAUCACAUUAAAAGCA